UGUCAUUUAAACGUAAUUUGAAAAAUAUGCAUAAAUAUGGAGCAGGGGUACAUGUGUCACUUUAAAAAUUAGAACGGGUUCAUAUUGCACUUAUUCAGGUCAUAAAUAAUAAACCCGAAAAAAAAACAGUAUUUCCGAGAAUCACUGCCCACUCUUAUCACCUCUCUCCACCGUCUCUUUCCCAAACUCUCUCUCUCUUCCCACAACACCCAUCUCUCUCUGCACCUCCCCCACCAUGAACUUUUUCUCCAAGUUGGGCAUAGAUGGAGUUGCGUUUUAAAAAUAAUACUAUUGGAGCCACUGCACGCCGAGGCCAACAAUGAGGCGGCGAGCACGGAGGUGGUGAUCGAAGGACGAGAUGACGCGGUGGAGCCAGGAGCUGACGACGGCGGGAAGGUGCAGCGGCGGUAGCGGCGGUCGGUGAAAGUAGGUUUGAUUCUGAUGUUAUUUUGAGGGUAGAGAGAGGGAGAGGGGAAGAGAAGGGGGG
RNAcentral lists this long non-coding RNA (487 nucleotides) under Daucus carota (carrot). Its description in RNAcentral is "long non-coding RNA (DCAR_LNC006426)". The record is from RNAcentral. Lineage: Eukaryota; Viridiplantae; Streptophyta; Magnoliopsida; Apiales; Apiaceae.